Molecule: long non-coding RNA, 250 nt
Filed under: Hordeum vulgare
Lineage: Eukaryota; Viridiplantae; Streptophyta; Magnoliopsida; Poales; Poaceae
Description: long non-coding RNA (HVUL_LNC007938)
Source: RNAcentral
UCCUGUUCUAAAACAAGUGAGUUUCCACAAAAGCUUUUAAUAUUUAAUGAAGGUCAAUGAAUGUCACAUGUGAGGAUCAACCUCAUUGAGUUUGUUAUGCAAAAAUAUAAGUUCUGCAUGUUGCCAAGAAUGUUUGUUAGGUCGAUGAGGCAGCCAUAGGAUGCGUGCGGCCGGUCAGAGGAAAGGCAGGGUACUAGCCCAAGGACGAGUUGGUUGCAGGAUAACCGUACUAGCAUAGGGCAGUUCUAUG